This is a long non-coding RNA of Brassica oleracea var. oleracea, 250 nucleotides long. RefSeq lists it as uncharacterized. The record is from RefSeq and is a predicted model, not a curated record. The transcript has 3 exons. Lineage: Eukaryota; Viridiplantae; Streptophyta; Magnoliopsida; Brassicales; Brassicaceae.
AUGUGAUUUGUCUGGCUAGGAAUUUUUCAAUUGAGGAAGGUGCUAGUUUUAUUGUUAUGAAUUGCUGACCUUGGUGGUUGGUUGUGACGGAGAGAAGAGAAGGUGGUGAGACAUACCUAUAUCUCCAGAGUUGCAACCGAUGGACCUCCGUGCUGCACAAUAAUUACGGUGCUGGGCACAGAUUGGUUUUGAUAGAUAAAUCACAUCCUCGAUCUCUAACAUUGAAUACAUGGCCCCUAAUGAUACGGUG